Molecule: ribosomal RNA, 225 nt
Filed under: uncultured prokaryote
Description: partial 16S ribosomal RNA
Rfam family: Bacterial small subunit ribosomal RNA
Source: RNAcentral
UACGUAGGGGCCUAGCGUUGUCCGGAUUUAUUGGGCGUAAAGAGCUCGUAGGCGGUUCGGCAAGUCGGAUGUGAAAUCUCCACGCUCAACGUGGAGGGGCCAUUCGAAACUGCUGUGACUUGAGUCCGGUAGGGGAGUGUGGAAUUCCCGGUGUAGCGGUGAAAUGCGUAGAUAUCAGGAGGAACACCUGUGGUGUAGACAGCUUACUGGACCAUUUCUGACGCU